This is a non-coding RNA of Pimephales promelas (fathead minnow), 542 nucleotides long. The record is from RefSeq and is a predicted model, not a curated record. Lineage: Eukaryota; Metazoa; Chordata; Actinopteri; Cypriniformes; Leuciscidae.
CAUGACUUGGAUGGAGCCGACCUCGUUGUUGCACCAUCCCAUAGCCUGCAGAGAGGGGUAGUCACCGCACACCUCCCACUGCCUUCCACCCAUGUUCUCACACUCGAAAAGCAUCAUACGGGAAUCCUUGUGCAUCUGUUUCAGAAUGAAGAACAACAUUUCGGCUCAUGACUUGGAACUUGAAUUAAACUGGCAGUGGCCACGUCUCACAGGAUGAUGAACCAAAUUGCAAAUGGGAAUGGAAUUUACUGCAGUGCAAUUUAAAGAAAUUUCAUGCAUCACACUGCGGUGUAAUACUUAAAAUGAACAAGAAAUUGCAUUCUGGGAAAUGUUCUUCCAUAACGCUCCGUAAAAUGAAGACAGUGAUGAUCGGAAAGUCUACUGGUGGGUGUAUGUCGUGUUCUGGUGCAGAUGGUCUCACUCACAGCAGAACAGAUGGGGCGGAAGGACAUCAGCCUCUCGAUGCGAUAGGCAUUGCUUCCACUCCAGGCCUCCCAGCAUGGGUAAUCUCCCUUCUCCAGGAUGAACUGCUGGCCAUUGAA